RNAcentral lists this ribosomal RNA (260 nucleotides) under uncultured bacterium. Its description in RNAcentral is "partial 16S ribosomal RNA". It matches the Rfam family "Bacterial small subunit ribosomal RNA", at positions 15 to 259 of the family's 1533-position model. The record is from RNAcentral.
GAUCCUGGCUCAGGAUGAACGCUGGCGGCGUGCUUAACACAUGCAAGUCGAGCGAUGAAGUUUCCUUCGGGAAACGGAUUAGCGGCGGACGGGUGAGUAACACGUGGGUAACCUGCCUCAUAGAGUGGAAUAGCCUUCCGAAAGGAAGAUUAAUACCGCAUAACGUUGAAAGAUGGCGAUCAUUAAUUCUAACCAAAACGGAAGGCAAUCCGCCUAUAAGAAUGGACCCGGCCGGCGGCAUUAGUCUAGUUGGUUGGGGG